CAGUCGCCACGGUAACACGGAAGGUCCGGGCGUUAUCCGGAUUUAUUGGGUUUAAAGGGAGCGUAGGCCGCCCCUUAAGCGUGUUGUGAAACGCGGAUGCUCAACAUCCGACUUGCAGCGCGAACUGGGGGGCUUGAGUGCGCCGAAAGUAGGCGGUAUUCGUGGUGUAGCGGUGAAAUGCUUAGAUAUCACGAAGAACUCCGAUUGCGAAGGCAGCUUACUGUAGCGCAACUGACGCUGAUGCUCGAAAGCGUGGGUAUCGAACAGGAUUAGAUACCCCAGUAGUCCCUGUCUCUUAUAC
This 301-nucleotide ribosomal RNA is filed under the name uncultured bacterium. RNAcentral's name for it is "partial 16S ribosomal RNA". It matches the Rfam family "Bacterial small subunit ribosomal RNA", at positions 509 to 807 of the family's 1533-position model. The record is from RNAcentral.